GUACUGAUAUUAUGUCUAUUUUAUUUUACAUCUAUACUUUGUUUGCAAUAAAAACCUUUUGAAUUUCGAACAAAAAGAAAUCUUUAAUAGAGGUGUCUUUGUUUUGUACUAAAUAGAGCUGAUGAAUUAGUACACUGAACUUGAUACAAAGAAAAUUUAAUUAAUCAUUAAUUUUAUCUAAUAAGGCAUAAAAACUGAUGUCACUCGUUGAUUGGUGUUACAUUAUAAUAUUUACUAUACGAAUGUCAUGUUCUUUUUCUAUUCCCUCUUCGUUUUUCCAGUUCUCUCAUGCACACACUGUCUUUAUAUAUAUAUCCAUAAUGUAAACAUGCAACCUAACCAAUAUACCGUAUGCCGGACUACGAGCGAGUCAACUUAUUGUAGAUAAGUGAACUAAGUCAAUUAAGUGUAACUUUCUAAUUGUAGAUUACAAUGUGGUACUUGAUUAAUGAACAAGGUGCCCGCAUAUAUUUAAAACCAAAUCAAGAGACGUUAAUCGGCAGGAAGAAAGCUGACAUUGUUUUGCCAAAUGAUAAAUCAAUCAGCAAGGAACAUGCCUCAAUUAGUGUUACAAAAUUAGAGGAAAUAAGGGGUAAUGAACCAACAUCUAUAUGUAAACUAAAAGACUUAAAGUCAAAAUAUGGUACUUUUAUCCUUCAUGAACAUGACAUAAUACAACUAACUGAAACUGAAUGUAUUUUAAAACAUCAAGAUACAAUAAGAUUUGGUUUACAGAACCAUGUAUUUAAGGUGAUAUAUGUACCUAUAAUAACAACAGUAUCUACUUUAUGUGAUGACGAGAUAGAAAGAUUAAAACAAUUGAUGGAAGAAAUUGAUGGUGUAAUAAUUACUGAUAGCGAUUGGAGAAGGGCAUCCACUUAUUUAACAGUAGGAAAUGCUAUUUUAACACUGAAGCUUGCCUCUGCUAUGGCUUCUGCUUUACCAAUAGUGACAAUGAAAUAUUGGGACGAAGUUAAAUUUGCAAUAGAUAAUGGUCGGCAACUUCCAGAUUCAAAUAAUUUUGUUCCACCAAUUGGUGAACCAUUAAUCGCUAAAAGAAAGGUAUUGAUUUCUCCAAACGAGAAAAGAACAACGUUAUUUGAAAAUUUAACAUUUAUACAUUUUAGUACAACUCAAUAUAGGAAAUAUAAGAAAAUUAUUAGAAUAGCAGGUGGAAUAUCACAAUUAUUUGAAAGAGCAGACCUAACAACUACAGAAUUUUGUAGCCCAAAUGUGAUUGUAUUACAAUAUUCAGACAAUGAUUCAACACAGAUCACGGAAAGUAUUUUCUGUAUAUAUCAUUCAAUACAACAAGCAUUGAAAGCAAAUAAUUAUAGAAUGAUAGCUGAAGUUGAAAUUUGUCUUGCAAUAUUGCAUUGUUCGACAGAAAAAUAUUGCAAUCCUAUGUAUAAAUUCGCAAAGCUUUUAAAAAGAUCAGAACGAAAAAAUGAUUCAUGUGAGAUUUUAAAUCUUGAUACACAAGAUGAAACAGCCAAAGUGUCAGAAUUACCAACUUCUUCGUUUUCGAUAUCGAUACCCGUAAAACACCGUAUUAUUCCUGAAACAUUGGAUAUCAAUCAAGAAUCAUUACCAAAUGUAAGUGGUGUUGUCAUACAACCUACAGAAGAGCAAAAAUGUAAUAAAAUACAAUGCAUAAGAAAAGCUCCUAAUGAUACUUCAGCAAUGGAAAAUAUGCAAGUUACACGAUCAAGAGUAAUUUCCAAUGUUUCGGCAACGACAUCCGUGAAAAUAAGACAACGUAUUAUUCCUGAAACAUUGAGUAGCAUCAGUAGUCAAGAAUCACAAUCAGAUGUACAUUAUAUUUUCACACAACCUACAGGAAAGCAAAGAUAUAAUGAAAUACAGUGCAUAAAAGAAACUCCUACUGAUGCUUCAGCAACAGUGAAAAAUGUGCAAGUUACACAACCAAUUAUUAUUCCUGAAACAUUGAGCAGCAUUAGUAGCCAAGAAUUACAAUCAAAUGCAAAUUUUGCUGGUACACAACCUACGAAAAAGCAAAAAUGUAAUAAAUUUCAAUACAUAGACGAAACUCCUGAUGCUUCAGCAACAGAGGCAAGUAUGCAAGAUACACGAUCUAAUGAAAACAAUUCGACUUUUCCUAACUUAUUCUCACAAAUCAUUCGAUAUUCUAACCAUGAUAAUCAGAAUUUACACAAACACGGUAAUAUACAGGAUAAGAGACAAUCAAAAGAAGUAAUAAUCUUAAGUGACGAUGAAACUGAACUAAAUACAGUACAACAAAAUAAAAAUAAUAACACGAAUUCUAAUAAAGAUUUCAUACAUAAUAUAUCGAAUAAUAUAUUUAAGACAAAUAAUUCAAGAGAUGAAAAUAGGCAAAUGCCACAAACAGCUCGAUUAACUGAUAAUCGUAUAACUGCCACAAAUUUAAAAGAAAUGUGCAAAGUCGAUGAAAAAAUAGAAUUAAAAAAUGUGCGCCCUGUAACACUAGAAGUAGAAGAAAAGCAUAAUGUAGAAACGACAUGUUCAGGAAAUUCAAUUACACCAUAUAUAACAGAACCACUAAAUACACCUGAAGAUCCUCCUAUAUGUUCUGUGGAAAAAGAAAAAAGGAAACAUAAAGAACAAAAUGUUAUAAAUUCCGCAUUACAAAGUAAUUCGUCACUUCGAGCUCAUCCUAAUUUCAAAGUGUUCAAAAAGGUUCCUGCUAUAGUUCCUCAGAAAAGGAUAAAAAUCGAUAAUAUAUUGGUGGCGUCUUGGAGAAACGUUAGUUUUACGCGGGAAGUCCAGCGAAACGGAACAUCAUCCAGAUCCCAUUAGGGAACAUUCGUGGCCGUGUGUAAUGUGAUCGGCAGAGUCAGUGUUUGCUACGUAAAGUUAUUUCCAAUAUUUUUCAGAUUAAGAUAGUUCUUAGUGAUCAGUAAAUUGAAUCAGAACUCAUACGCGAGUUUAGAGCCAGUGUUUGUUUGCCGCUUGUAAUUUAAACGAGCAAGUUAAUAGUCUUUUAUUUUUCUUUUUUUACACACACACACGCGCACGCACACACAUACAGAUAUAUUCUUCUUUUUAAAUACUCUUUUCCAGUAUUAGAAUCACCCCUCCCCUCAAAAGGAUCCAACCUCUUUAAAAACCAAGAACAAUCGGUGCCUUCAUGAUGUUUCCCGGGCUAAGAUAAUACUAAUAACAAUAUUCUUCGCAUCUAGUGCGAGCAUGGCCUGCCUCCAUCUAUGCGUGUGCACAGUGGAUCCGUUCGCUGGUCGGAUGCAAUUACGGAUCGGGGCCGGACCGAGAAAAACGCCCAGUGCAUCGCUUGCCAAUUACUGGAAGGAAAGGCAAGGGAGUCUCCAAUUUGCUACUAACUUCUCUCAACGAAGGGCGGAAGCGGCACGGAAGGGUGUGGCACCAGUUACCGAACGCGAAUUGCACGGAAGCCUUUGCGAAUGUGAACCGAGUGCAACAGUAUUUAUUAAUCUCUCAAAUGGUCACUCUUGAAGAAAUUAAUUGUGUAAAUUGAAGUAAAUCAAUUUGAGCGCGAUAAUAAUGAUCCACAAUGUGUUGAAUUAAAAGUUUGAUUAAAGCACGGUACAUGAUACGUAGAUUAAGGAUUAAAUUUAUAUUUAACAUACGAAAUGCUCGUUUGAACUCAUUUUUUACUUAAAUUACGCGAAACAUUGCCGGGGGAAACACAAUGUAACAUUUUGACGUGUAACACGAACGUUGAUAACGUUCUGUUACAACGGAAAAUAACAAGCUUUCUUUAUCGCGUAUUUCACGGUAGAAAAUGUGAUCGAUUGGCGUACGUGAUGGUGAAACUGAUACUAAAGAUAGGCACGCGAAGUACAAAUGUCAGAGUAAAUCAAUAAUAUAAAGGAACGUUGCUGCGAAAUACGGAACAAGUACUAUAAUAAAUACACUAGAUCAUAAGAAUUCUAAAAUUAAACAGAACAACGUAUAAAUAGUACGCUUAGACUGAGAUAUUAAACCUACUACAAAAAUGCUAUAUCAAAAAUACAUCCAAUGUUAAAAAUAGAAUUCGAUAAUGUUACAAAUAACCACUAAUGUACACAACAACGUGUAAACGAAAAAACUUUUUGGCCAAGUUAAAAUAAAUUCACCGAAGAAAGUUGCAAAU
RNA transcript from Bombus terrestris (buff-tailed bumblebee), 4111 nucleotides. RefSeq lists it as uncharacterized. The transcript is spliced from 13 exons. Lineage: Eukaryota; Metazoa; Arthropoda; Insecta; Hymenoptera; Apidae. The record is from RefSeq and is a predicted model, not a curated record.